RNAcentral lists this ribosomal RNA (465 nucleotides) under uncultured bacterium. Its description in RNAcentral is "partial 16S ribosomal RNA". It matches the Rfam family "Bacterial small subunit ribosomal RNA", at positions 338 to 795 of the family's 1533-position model. The record is from RNAcentral.
CCUACGGGAGGCAGCAGUGGGGAAUAUUGCGCAAUGGGCGAAAGCCUGAAGCAGCGACGCCGCGUGAGGGAUGAAGGUCUUCGGAUCGUAAACCUCUGUCAGCAGGGAAGAACGGUCACUGUGCUAAUCAGCAGUGAAUUGACGGUACCUGCACAGGAAGCACCGGCUAACUCCGUGCCAGCAGCCGCGUGAAUAAGGGGGGUGCGAGCGUUAAUGGGAAUUAAUGGGCGUAAAGCGGUCGUAGGCGGUAUGUCAAGUCAAGUGUGAAAUCCCCGCGCUCAACGUAGGAACUGCCUUUGAAAAUGGCAGACUGGAGUGUGUGAGAGGAUAGUGGAAUUCCAGGUGUAGGAGUGAAAUCCGUAGAGAUCUGGAGGAACAUCAGUGGCGAAGGCGACUAUCUGGCACAUAACUGACGCUGAGGAGCGAAAGCGUGGGUAGCAAACAGGAUUAGAUACCCCUGUAGUC